GAUGAACGCUGGCGGCGUGCCUAAUACAUGCAAGUCGAGCGAACGGACGAGGAGCUUGCUCCUCUGAUGUUAGCGGCGGACGGGUGAGUAACACGUGGAUAACCUACUUAUAAGACUGGGAUAACUUCGGGAAACCGGAGCUAAUACCGGAUAAUAUAUUGAACCGCAUGGUUCAAUAGUGAAAGACGGUUUUGCUGUCACUUAUAGAUGGAUCCGCGCCGCAUUAGCUAGUUGGUAAGGUAACGGCUUACCAAGGCAACGAUGCGUAGCCGACCUGAGAGGGUGAUCGGCCACACUGGAACUGAGACACGGUCCAGACUCCUACGGGAGGCAGCAGUAGGGAAUCUUCCGCAAUGGGCGAAAGCCUGACGGAGCAACGCCGCGUGAGUGAUGAAGGUCUUCGGAUCGUAAAACUCUGUUAUUAGGGAAGAACAAAUGUGUAAGUAACUAUGCACAUCUUGACGGUACCUAAUCAGAAAGCCACGGCUAACUACGUG
This 497-nucleotide ribosomal RNA is filed under the name uncultured bacterium. RNAcentral describes it as "partial 16S ribosomal RNA". It matches the Rfam family "Bacterial small subunit ribosomal RNA", at positions 28 to 507 of the family's 1533-position model. The record is from RNAcentral.